This 3983-nucleotide long non-coding RNA is filed under the name Malus domestica (apple). RNAcentral's name for it is "long non-coding RNA (MDOM_LNC016312)". The record is from RNAcentral. Lineage: Eukaryota; Viridiplantae; Streptophyta; Magnoliopsida; Rosales; Rosaceae.
CUCGGACUCAAAUUAUUGUUUUCCCCUCAAUAUCUAUUAUAUAACUUUGAAGCCAAAUGUAACUGUGAAUCAAAGCUAGAAACAACCCAAAGAUGAACACUAUUAAACAGCUAUGGCAUUUGCCAGACGCAAACACUGUCACUAAUUUGCCAACAGAAGACUCAAAAAAGUAACUUGUGAAAGUUCAGAUGCAGAUCCAGAAUUUCAAUAAAACGAGCAAAUAUUAGUGUGAUAAGCAACUAUGAGAAGAUAAAAGACAAUGUUGCUAUCUUGAAAAGAAAAAAUUCACCCACCAUCUCAUUGAAAAUCCAAUUACUUGCUCUAAUAGUCAUUUUUGAACUCCCCAAUUCCCAUCUUUUACAUUUCACUUAUCUGUAUAUAUGUCUCUUCUUUUUCACUCACUCACAGUUCCCUUUCUUCCAAGGUUUAUGUCGAAAAUCCCAUACGAAAAAUUGACAUCAAUAAAUUACAAUAUAUAAUAUACAUGGUUUCGUUCCUAAUUAUCCCGAGAUCUUUUAUGGUAAAACCUGUUAACUACAUUGUAGUGUUUGGGAAUUGAAAGGAAAAUCAAGAAGAAAGAUGAAGAGAAGAAAGAUCAAUACAGAGAGUUUGAGAGAGAGAGAGUUUAGAGAGAGAAAUAGGAUUUGUAUUAACUUGUCAAAUGAAGAUUACACAUACUGUUUAUAUAGAAAUCCUAACCACUUUAACCAAAUACUAACUACCUAACUAUAUUACAUUCGUACCCUUAAUACUCCCCCUCAAUCUCAACUGGGGAAACCCAGUUUGAGAUUGGACGAACAUCUGCAAUCACUGCUAUUAAACUAUAAAACAGAACACAGAGUUGAACCAACUGGAGUCUUGCAAUCACUUGAAACUUCAAAGGCUGUUUUUAAUGAAGUCACAUCUCAGGACACCAUUUUGGGGAAAUCUACUGCUUCAAACUUUCUUCUCAACCGAGACAUUCUGACAAUCAGAAAUGCAAUUAACCAAUUUCACAGUAUCAUCACAAACAGAAACACCACCCUUAUUUCCCAUGAUCCAAUUCUUUAAGCCUGGUGAUUGAACCUCAAUGUAAUGGACUUCUGAACAUGGCGACGAGAACUUUCUUCUGUUCCUGAUUUUCUAGACUGUUGGCUUUUUAAAGUUUCGCCCUUGUCGAUGUAAUACAAUCCCGAGUAAGGCCAUUAAAAUUUUCCAUAUGAGCCGAUUUCUCUAUAUGUUGGCUUUUCAAGCAACAUCUUUCUUGGUCAGCCACUUGUGAGUUUGCAAAUUUGCUAUAAUCCUGACCUCAAUCUUUUCGAUCUUUUCCUCCAAAUUAGCCCCAUUGUCUCACUGUUGUACUGACAACAAUCCACCACAGAAACAGUCUCCAAUCUAUCAGUUGAUCUUUCUGCAUUCGUCAAUCGUGACAUCUUUCCUCUGCCUUCUAAUAGGAUCAGAUUCAUUGUUGUGGCUGAGCUCUAUUCAGAUUUAUAGAAUACAGAAGCCAUUCCCCUGUCCAAAUCAAUCAUGCACAUUUCAAGAGUGUACACAGGUUCAAAGUUCUACUGGUUUUUCAUCUGCAUUACCGACUUCUUCCGGUUUAACCCAGGCUCUUAUUUCAAACAUGUAAAAUAUGUCUGGAACUUCACAGACCCUUGAUAUGAUUUCUAAUUUUCAAAGCCAAAUGCAACAGAUAGUUCCACAACAGCAGUGGCAGCAGCAAGGAUAUAUCCCAAAACUUGUCCAAUCUCCACUAAAAUAGCAGCAACAGUAACCAACUCAGUCGCAGUCCUCUCAAAAAUCUAUUAAGCACAUAUUAAAUCUUAACAAACCUUCUAUGGUGAAAUCACAUCCAUCUAGUCUUCAACAGAAUCAACAAUCUCCCAUUCAUCAGUCAACACAAUCUAUGCUUCAGCAGCAUCCACAGUCAUCAAACAACAAGCUUUACAAUCACAGAAAUCAAGAAACACAACCCUCUUCGGCAAUCGGCCUUUAAUGAAGAAAGGGAACAAGAACUGCACUCCGGCAAUCGGCCUUAAUGGAGUUGCACACAAUAACGACAAACAAAAACUAUUCAAGAACGUUACUCCGGCUAUCGGCCUUUAAGGAGUAACACACAAUAUCUGAAACAUAACGUUUCACUCCGGCUAUCGGCCUUGUGGGGAAACAAACAACUUACACACACUUCUGGCUAUCGGCCUUUUUGAAGUGGGUCAUAAAAGGGAAAUGGCUAUCGGCCUCUCUAUCCCACCAAACACCUCAUUUAUCUACAAUUUUCAUGAUUUCAACACUUAUGGCUAUCGGCCUCUAACAAUUAUGCAAUUUGAAGCAAAAAACUUUGACUGCGACAUUCCAUCAAACACAUAGAGUGCAAGAUAAAGGAACCUGACAUUCUGCGAACCUUGAAUCUGUAUCCCAACUAGAGAAGAUAUGAACGAAGAUAUACCUCUGUUUCGAUCAGAAAUCAAAUAUUUUCUUACUGAAACAUUUAAUCAAACAGAUUAUGUGCAUUGUGAAAACCCAGAAAUCAAGAACCUGAUAAGAACUUCAAUCUUGACCCAAGAAUGCUAAGAGAGAAAACCAGAAGUCUCUCAUCGAUCUAAGGCAAAAUAUGGAAUAAGAACAAGAUUCAGCCUGACAACGAAAGAAACGAACCCUUUCGAGCCCAGCAAUAGGAUGAUUCGGGACCAAUCGACCAUGUUCUUGGCUUCAGAAACAUUAGAAACCAUGUUAGAAUUGGAAUCGCAGGCCGGCGAUAAGAUAAGAAGUCCCUAAUCAACGAUUGCCGGCGAUCAGCGCCCUCGCACCGCUAAUCUCCAACGGUCAUUGCUCCACCAUUUGCUGUUUCUCCACGACGCGUCGUUUUCAGGGCCUCGGGACCUUGGCGGUCCUGCUGAUCUCAUAAAUCAGUAUAAGCUUUGUCGUCAUCAUGAAUUCUUUUGCAAGAGAUCACUGCCUUUGUCAAUAUCAGAGACUCAUUAUCUACAUAAUGUGGUGGGAGACACAUCAAUCAAGAACACCGAGAAUCGAAAUCCCAUGAAACAGAUUCGGGUACCACACUUCUUCUCUCAGGCUUUCCUUCGAACACCUUGUGAACAUGACUCAGGGUACUUACUUGCCGACUCUGCAUCAGAACAAGAAAUUCAAUCCCCAAAAUCGAUGAGAAGUAAAGAUCGGUGAAAAUCAAUCACGUUCAAUAGAGAAAUCUCUGAUCACAAUCCAGAAAGUUCAACCUAGAAGUAAAACAACGAUCGCGGAAGCACUCAAAAAUUUAUUCGAACAUCUAAUGAAAAUUUGGAAAGAACUAAGCUAGAAACAUAUGAAAAAUAAUGGGAAGUGGAACCACCAGAAUCUAUGGCGUGAGCCUGGUGGCUCUGAUACCAUGUUAACUACAUUGUAGUGUUUGGGAAUUGAAAGGAAAAUCAAGAAGAAAGAUGAAGAGAAGAAAGAUCAAUACAGAGAGUUUGAGAGAUAGAGAGUUUAGAGAGAGAAAUAGGAUUUGUAUUAACUUGUCAAAUGAAGAUUACACAUAUUGUUUAUAUAGAAAUCCUAACCACUUUAACCAAAUACUAACUACCUAACUAUAUUACAUUCGUACCCUUAAUAAAACCUUACUCACGUUGGGCUAAGAGGUGGUUAGUUUGAGCACUAUUGGUGUUCAACAGUUGGCCCAUCUCUAUGGAAUUUGACAGUUUAUACCAAGAAAACCUAUCAAAACCCAUAUUCCAUGUAACGUGACAAUAACAAAUUUAGAACCACGAACCAGUACAAAAUUCUAUAUUAACAUGGCUAAAUAGAACAUGGAAAAUAUAUUUCAAUGGGAAAAACAAAGGAAGAAGCAAAUAUGGGUUGUUUCUAAUACACUUUCAAACGCAUAGAGAAAAAAAGAAUAAAAGAGAGAGAGUGAGAGAGAAGACUUACUCCAUAUACAGUGGGAACUGGAGAAGAUUGAAGCUGUUCAUCGCUUGAGGGCUUGGACUUGGAGCAGAAAACCACAACCG